UGGCCCGUGGUGUAACGGUAGCACAGCAGAUUUUGGUUCUGUUUGUCAGGGUUCGAAUCCUUGCGGGCCAA
Molecule: transfer RNA, 71 nt
Filed under: Saprospiraceae bacterium
Lineage: Bacteria; Pseudomonadati; Bacteroidota; Saprospiria; Saprospirales; Saprospiraceae
Description: tRNA-Gln
Rfam family: tRNA
About the family: Transfer RNA (tRNA) molecules are approximately 80 nucleotides in length. Their secondary structure includes four short double-helical elements and three loops (D, anti-codon, and T loops).
Source: RNAcentral